RNAcentral lists this ribosomal RNA (241 nucleotides) under uncultured bacterium. RNAcentral describes it as "partial 16S ribosomal RNA". It matches the Rfam family "Bacterial small subunit ribosomal RNA", at positions 106 to 339 of the family's 1533-position model. The record is from RNAcentral.
GUGCGUAACACGUGAGCAAUCUGCCCUUGUGCGGGGGAUAAGCCGGGGAAACCUGGUCUAAUACCGCAUGACAUCGCCCUUUCGGAUGGAGGGGUGAUCAAAGCUGCUUUCGGGCAGCGCGCAGGGAGGGGCUCGCGGGGUAUCAGGUAGUUGGUGAGGUAACGGCUCACCAAGGCUUCGACGGGUAGCUGGUCUGAGAGGAUGAUCAGCCACACUGGGACUGAGACACGGCCCAGACUCC